UCCUCCCCAGCCAGAAUCCGAAUAUUAAGCUUAAAGAAAAUCAUUUCUAUCUGAAUCUCCAUCCGCCGCAUUUGAAUCAGAGGUGCGACAGGUGUAAACUCUUAUAUGAUAUAGGAAUUUGGGUUUGGAUUUAAGAUUGCGUUUUCAUUCAAAUUAAAAUUAAAAUUAAAACUAAAGAUUAAACUGAAAUCUAAAAUUAUAAUUAGAAACUGUUUUUUUCUGUGAAAUAUGGAUUAAAAAACUAAUUUCUUUUAAUUGAUGCCUAUAAUUCUUCCCUUCUCUCGAAAUUCGUAGCUCUAAAUCCAUAAUUAAGCCUGUUAAUUAGUACCAAGAUCACAAACAUCAUUUAACAGUAGUUGUGUAUUUUGGUAAAAAGAAUAUACAGUGAGUAGAGUACUGAACCCAGAAGCAAUAACACAAGUAGUAUCAACAUAUAAUGCUUACAUAGGAAGCAGGUAGAUUUGGAAGCAUAAGAACCUUAAAAUGAGUUGGUUCUGGCAAAAAAGGAAAAGAAAGCAUAAGAACGUUGAGACAUACACAUACAAGUAGUGUUUGUUUCAAACUUGGAGUGUUCUGGUUUUUUAAUUAUAAUCUUGGCAGGGCACGAGGCUGAACGCGAGGAGCGUCCCAGUCUGUGGCAAUGUGGUCACGGGUGAUUUCCUUGAGUGAGCGGCACCCACUUAAGGCCAUGGUUAGCUCAAACUCGUCGCGGAGCAUCUGCAGCACUUUUCUCACACCAGUCUCUCCUUCAGCAGCCAAGGCAUACACCACAGGGCGUCCAAUCUGACAUACACCAAAAUUUGUUACGAGCAAUUCUAUGGUGGACCAAGUUAAAAACAGGUCAAUCCGUGUAAUAUGUUUUUACUACCAACAUUUUAGUACAUGUUAUAUAAUGUAUAUUCUUCUUAUGAGUUAAAAUUAAUUUAUAAACAAUUUUUUAAACUUAAGAACCAGAUUUUCUUGUUUCUUCUAGAUAUAGAGCAGCUAUUCAGUAUAAUUAUGGGUAGACACCUAAGUGGAGCGGUAAAAUUACUCUAAUUUUAAGUGCCCAAUAAUAUUUUAGCAUGUGUGAUGAGUUAUAAGUUUUUAAGACCAGUGUCAAAAUAUUAUUGACGAUCUAAGUUAGGAUGAUGGUAACCAAAGUAAGACCUCAUAUCAAGAACUAAGAAUGAAUUUUCAGAAGAGGUUUAUGAUGUACUCACAAAUAUGCCAGAAGCACCAAGUGCCAAUGCCUUGAAGACAUCAGUUCCACGGCGAACACCACCAUCCAAAAACACAGGAAUACGGCCUUGAGCAGCUUUAACAACCUAAGUUAUUUCAACAAUACAAAGUAUAUAAAUAAAGAUCCUUAGAAUAAAUUAAUUUCAAGCUGAUUGAGAUGGAUGUAACAUGAAGUUAAUUUAUGUACCUCUUCUAAGGCACUUAUGGUGGCUGGGACAUAAUCAAGUUGUCUAGCUCCAUGGUUGGACACUAUUAUUCCAGCUGCACCACUUUGUACCGCUAUCCUUGCUGCCAAAUUCAGUUCAAGAAGACAUUAAUCAAAUAUUCAAUCAAAGAUUAAUAAGAGAUGAAAACAGGUUUUUUUUCCUUACUGUCCUCAGCAGUCAGUACACCCUUCACCAGAAUUGGCAGCUUGGUGAUUGUCUGGAGCCACUUCACAUCCUGUAUAAUCAAUAGAGUGAGAUCAGCUAUACUGGCUCCAGUGCGCUCUAUCAAACCAAAUUUUGUGGGAUACUAUUGACCAAAGGCCGCUUUUAACAUUAUCUUCCAAUGUUCUUUAUUGUUUUAUUGACUCCUUCUUAUCGGUGCCUCUAAAUGUGGUUCUUUGUACAUGUCUGUAUCAUCUUAACCGAUUGAUCAAAUUGAGCUUUAUUAUUCUACACUCUUUUCUGCACUAUGCAGGAGUAUUCUUUGUCUAAUGUCAGCAUGCAUACAACUUAUGAACCAAAUCAAUUAUCUAUGUAAGUAUAUUUGUCACUUGGAUUUCAAUAUAAUGAAACUUUGUCUGCC
RNAcentral lists this long non-coding RNA (2010 nucleotides) under Lotus japonicus. RNAcentral's name for it is "long non-coding RNA (LJAP_LNC001565)". The record is from RNAcentral. Lineage: Eukaryota; Viridiplantae; Streptophyta; Magnoliopsida; Fabales; Fabaceae.